This is a long non-coding RNA of Quercus robur (English oak), 494 nucleotides long. RefSeq lists it as uncharacterized. The record is from RefSeq and is a predicted model, not a curated record. Lineage: Eukaryota; Viridiplantae; Streptophyta; Magnoliopsida; Fagales; Fagaceae. The transcript has 3 exons.
CUGUUGAGAUGUCGUGGCCUGCACAUCUUGCUCAAGUUUCUCUGUUUAGGAAGGCAAUCAAGGAUUUAUCAGCUGGCUUGGGCAUUGAGAAUGAUGACAUUGAGUGCUUGUAUUUACAAGCUUCCUGUUACCAUGCUAUUGGCGAAUAUAGAGAGGUCAAGGACUAUGAUGCUGCUUAGACUCAAUGGAAAAGUUUGUGCUUCAAUGCUUGGCCUUUUAUCAGGUUUGCUUUGAAAUGAAUAGUACGCUUUAAAUGCUCCAAAUGCCUUGGACAUAUUGAAAGGCAAUAUAAUUGUAUGGAGUUCAAUUGAUGAUAGAUGAAAAAUUGUAUUUAUCAAAAUAAAUAAAUAAAGGAAAAGUUAUAGAAAGGUUAUGUGUAAAUUCAUGAUGAAAGCCCUGGUUGAUCUUUGGUUUUGCAAUUUAUUUUUCAUUUUAUUGGGAACAAGUUGUAGGAGAUUGGAUUAGUGGAAUUUACCAGUGAAUUUCUAUUGCUU